Molecule: ribosomal RNA, 497 nt
Filed under: uncultured bacterium
Lineage: Bacteria
Description: partial 16S ribosomal RNA
Rfam family: Bacterial small subunit ribosomal RNA
Source: RNAcentral
GAUGAACGCUGGCGGCGUGCCUAAUACAUGCAAGUCGAGCGAACGGACGAGAAACUUGCUUCUCUGAUGUUAGCGGCUGACGGGUGAGUAACACGUGGAUAACCUACCUAUAAGACUGGGAUAACUUCGGGAAACCGUAGCUAGUACCGGAUAAUAUUUUGAACCGCAUGGUUCAAAAGUGAAAGACGGUCUUGCUGUCACUUAUAGAUGGAUCCGCGCUGCAUUAGCUAGUUGGUAAGGUAACGGCUUACCAAGGCAACGAUGCAUAGCCGACCUGAGAGGGUGAUAGGACACACUGGAACUGAGACACGGUACAGACUCCUACGGGAGGACGCAGUAGGGAAUCUUACGCAAUGGGCGAAAGCCUGACGGAGCAACGCCGCGUGAGUGAUGAAGGUCUUCGGAUCGUAAAACUCUGUUAUUAGGGAAGAACAUAUGUGUAAGUAACUGUGCACAUCUUGACGGUACCUAAUCAGAAAGCCACGGCUAACUACGUG